This 1046-nucleotide ribosomal RNA is filed under the name Micrococcus luteus. Its description in RNAcentral is "bacterial SSU rRNA". It matches the Rfam family "Bacterial small subunit ribosomal RNA", at positions 180 to 1244 of the family's 1533-position model. Lineage: Bacteria; Bacillati; Actinomycetota; Actinomycetes; Micrococcales; Micrococcaceae. The record is from RNAcentral.
GCUCCACCGCAUGGUGGGUGUUGGAAAGAUUUAUCGGUUUUGGAUGGACUCGCGGCCUAUCAGCUUGUUGGUGAGGUAAUGGCUCACCAAGGCGACGACGGGUAGCCGGCCUGAGAGGGUGACCGGCCACACUGGGACUGAGACACGGCCCAGACUCCUACGGGAGGCAGCAGUGGGGAAUAUUGCACAAUGGGCGCAAGCCUGAUGAGCGACGCCGCGUGAGGGAUGACGGCCUUCGGGUUGUAAACCUCUUUCAGUAGGGAAGAAGCGAAAGUGACGGUACCUGCAGAAGAAGCACCGGCUAACUACGUGCCACAGCCGCGGUAAUACGUAGGGUGCGAGCGUUAUCCGGAAUUAUUGGGCGUAAAGAGCUCGUAGGCGGUUUGUCGCGUCUGUCGUGAAAGUCCGGGGCUUAACCCCGGAUCUGCGGUGGGUACGGGCAGACUAGAGUGCAGUAGGGGAGACUGGAAUUCCUGGUGUAGCGGUGGAAUGCGCAGAUAUCAGGAGGAACACCGAUGGCGAAGCAGGUCUCUGGGCUGUAACUGACGCUGAGGAGCGAAAGCAUGGGGAGCGAACAGGAUUAGAUACCCUGGUAGUCCAUGCCGUAAACGUUGGGCACUAGUGUGGGGACCAUUCCACGGUUUCCGCGCCGCAGCUAACGCAUUAAGUGCCCCGCCUGGGGAGUACGGCCGCAAGGCUAAAACUCAAAGGAAUUGACGGGGGCCCGCACAAGCGGCGGAGCAUGCGGAUUAAUUCGAUGCAACGCGAAGAACCUUACCAAGGCUUGACAUGUUCUCGAUCGCCGUAGAGAUACGGUUUCCCCUUUGGGGCGGUUCACAGGUGGUGCAUGGUUGUCGUCAGCUCGUGUCGUGAGAUGUUGGGUUAAGUCCCGCAACGAGCGCAACCCUCGUUCCAUGUUGCCAGCACUAGUGGUGGGGACUCAUGGGAGACUGCCGGGGUCAACUCGGAGGAAGGUGAGGACGACGUCAAAUCAUCAUGCCCCUUAUGUCUUGGGCUUCACGCAUGCUACAAUGGCCGGUACAAUG